RNAcentral lists this ribosomal RNA (500 nucleotides) under uncultured Glomeromycotina. Its description in RNAcentral is "partial small subunit ribosomal RNA". It matches the Rfam family "Eukaryotic small subunit ribosomal RNA", at positions 591 to 1092 of the family's 1831-position model. Lineage: Eukaryota; Fungi; Glomeromycota. The record is from RNAcentral.
CCAAUAGCGUAUAUUAAAGUUGUUGCAGUUAAAAAGCUCGUAGUUGAACUUCGGGGUUAGUAGGUUGGUCAUGCCUCUGGUAUGUACUGGUCUCACUGAUUCCUCCUUCCUGGUGAACCUUAAUGCCAUUAAUUUGGUGUUUUGGGGAAUUUGGACUGUUACUUUGAAAAAAUUAGAGUGUUUAAAGCAAGCUAACGCUUGAAUACAUUAGCAUGGAAUAAUGAAAUAGGACGUUCGAUCCUAUUUUGUUGGUUUCUAGGAUUGACGUAAUGAUUAAUAGGGAUAGUUGGGGGCAUUAGUAUUCAAUUGUCAGAGGUGAAAUUCUUGGAUUUAUUGAAGACUAACUACUGCGAAAGCAUUUGCCAAGGAUGUUUUCAUUAAUCAAGAGCGAAAGUUAGGGGAUCGAAGACGAUCAGAUACCGUCGUAGUCUUAACCAUAAACUAUGCCGACUAGGGAUCGGAUGAUGUUAAUUUUUUAAUGACUCAUUCGGCGCCUUACG